UUACUUCUUACUCGAAAAGCUUAUAGUGAAUGAUUCUUUGCUUCUAUUGAAUUUUGC
Molecule: small RNA, 57 nt
Filed under: Arabidopsis thaliana (thale cress)
Lineage: Eukaryota; Viridiplantae; Streptophyta; Magnoliopsida; Brassicales; Brassicaceae
Description: ATSL305830
Source: RNAcentral